This is a long non-coding RNA of Amphiprion ocellaris (clown anemonefish), 633 nucleotides long. Lineage: Eukaryota; Metazoa; Chordata; Actinopteri; Pomacentridae. The record is from Ensembl.
GCUCGAGCCGCGGACAGAAAGAGAUGGUUGAUCUAUGGUGGAAAAGCUAACGCGACAGUAGCAGCGUUUUGUGGAGAAAUUCGGAGAUUUGAUAUUGAGAGAUUGAAGGCUGUGAACCCUCGUGAGCUGGAAUUCCCCUUGCUGCGCGUGGUGCUUAGCAUGGUCGGGGUUUUUUUUUGGAUCGGAUUUGGAAAUCUUGAGAAGAACCAAGGAUCAACUUCCAGCACUUGAUGCUGCAGACCCUCCUCUGGUCACCAUGACGAUCCUCCACAUGAAGGUUAAACCAUCCAGCUGCUGAUGGACAGAAUCUGAUGUUCUCUGCUUCGGUUUGACCUCCAUGAAAGCUACAGAAGAGUCCAGAUGAGAAAAACAUCAUUACCUGGUCUCCUGUUCAACCAUCCAGCUCUGCCCUGGGCGACGUAAAGCUUCCUACUGGUCCACUUAAACGGCUCUAACCUGCCAUCAGGAGGAAGAGUCGGUCUGGCGUCAGAUCAGGAGUCUUGGCUCCGACCUUGGAGGUGCAAAGCUCUCGCCUCCUCUGCAGCCUCGGGGAGGAUUUCUGCCUCUGUGCUUUCUUUAAAACCAGCUCCAACCCAAAGAAAGACGAUCGACCGACACUCCAGAGAUGCCUCC